This is a regulatory RNA element of Dethiosulfatibacter aminovorans DSM 17477, 127 nucleotides long. It matches the Rfam family "Ribosomal protein L10 leader". From Rfam's summary of the family: This family is a putative r-protein leader autoregulatory structure found in B. subtilis and other low-GC Gram-positive bacteria. Lineage: Bacteria; Bacillati; Bacillota; Tissierellia. The record is from Rfam.
GUCAAUAAAAUAUUUUUACCGCAGACAACUGGUGCGAAAGCUUAAUUUCCAGUCGAGGUGAAACGUGAUUGUAUUAAGGCAAUUAAUGGUUUCUUCGUUCUGCGGAGAAACCUUUUUUAUUAUAUUC